GAAAUGCGAUAAGUAGUGUGAAUUGCAGAAUUCAGUGAAUCAUCGAAUCUUUGAACGCACAUUGCGCCCUUUGGUAUUCCUUAGGGCAUGCCUGUUCGAGCGUCAUCUAAACCUUCAAGCCCUGCUUGGUGUUGGGUGCCGGUCCCGCCUCCGCGCGCGGACUCACCUCAAAUCCAUUGGCGGCCCCCGCGUCGGCCACGAGCGCAGCAGAAACGCGAACUCGUGAGCCCGUCCGGGCGGCUCCCAGAAGCUACACCCACCCAGUUUGACCUCGGAUCAGGUAGGGAUACCCGCUGAACUUAAGC
Molecule: unclassified non-coding RNA, 305 nt
Filed under: plant metagenome
Description: partial contains 5.8S ribosomal RNA, internal transcribed spacer 2, and large subunit ribosomal RNA
Rfam family: 5.8S ribosomal RNA (bases 1-105)
Source: RNAcentral